Long non-coding RNA from Ipomoea nil (Japanese morning glory), 228 nucleotides. RefSeq lists it as uncharacterized. Lineage: Eukaryota; Viridiplantae; Streptophyta; Magnoliopsida; Solanales; Convolvulaceae. The record is from RefSeq and is a predicted model, not a curated record. The transcript is spliced from 3 exons.
CCUGCAUGUUAUGGAGGAAUGAAUUGGUUGAUAUGAUGCAAUUAGAUGAAGGCAAUGGGAGUACUCUUUUCGUUCGUUUUCAUCAUUCCGAAUUAGAUAAUAAGAGCAGCAAAACCACAAUUAUUGUUGCAGUAUCUGUUGUGCCAGCAGUUGCAGUCAUUGUAUCCAUUUGGCUACUAUGUAGCUGGCAAGCAAGAAUCCGAGCAGCCAAGAAAAAAGCUGAAAUUC